UUUCCGUAGGUGAACCUGCGGAAGGAUCAUUGUCGAAAGCUUGUGGAACGUCGGUGGACAUGCGGACUUGUUGGAAUAUAUGCGUGGGGUGAAUGGGGGUGUAGCCCUCUCACCAACCCGUGGUUGAUGGGGACGUGUUUGGGAUCCCAUGUGAACCCCGGUCGAACACUUAUAUCGGCAGGUAACGUGCCAAGGAAGCUAUGAGAUAAUCCCACCCCCAGCCCCUCCUCGCGUGGCGUGUGCGUGGGAUUUGGGGAGGUGGAUUGUGCAAUUCUGACAUAACGACUCUCGACAAUGGAUAUCUCGGCUCCCGUAUCGAUGAAGAAUGCAGCGAAAUGCGAUACGUGGUGCGAAUUGCAGAAUCUCGUGAAUCAUUGAGUUUUUGAACGCAAGUUGCGCCCGACGCCAUUUUUUUUGGUUGAGGGCACACCUGCCCGGGUGCCAUGCAUGGAGUUGUCCCUGGACCUCCUCCGAAAUGAGACCUAGUAACAUGGUYGAUUUUUGAGAGUGGGCGUACCAUGGGGGUAGAAGUUGGCCUUCCGUUCCACGUCGUGCGGUUGGUUUAAAUUUGGGGUCCCAGGCGAUAUUGGGUCGUGCGAGUUGCGUAGGAUAAUGUUUGUCCCAUGUCGGUUGGUGAGGCACCUGUGGUCCCAUGGCCUCGUUGACACAUUGACGGAGAAGCCAUCCAGGGCCC
RNAcentral lists this unclassified non-coding RNA (694 nucleotides) under Viscum cuneifolium var. grandifolium. RNAcentral's name for it is "sequence contains ITS1, 5.8S rRNA gene, ITS2". The stretch from base 284 to 444 matches the Rfam family "5.8S ribosomal RNA". The record is from RNAcentral. Lineage: Eukaryota; Viridiplantae; Streptophyta; Magnoliopsida; Santalales; Viscaceae.